This 207-nucleotide ribosomal RNA is filed under the name uncultured bacterium. Its description in RNAcentral is "partial 16S ribosomal RNA". It matches the Rfam family "Bacterial small subunit ribosomal RNA", at positions 568 to 774 of the family's 1533-position model. The record is from RNAcentral.
UGCGUAGGUGGUGCGCUAAGUCAGGUGUGAAAUUUCGGAGCUUAACUCCGAAACUGCAUUUGAUACUGGCGUGCUUGGGGACUGGAGAGGAGACUGGAAUUCACGGUGUAGCAGUGAAAUGCGUAGAGAUCGUGAGGAAGACCAGUGGCGAAGGCGGCAUCCUGGACCGGUAUUGACGCUGAGGCGCGAAAGCCAGGGGAGCAAACG